RNAcentral lists this long non-coding RNA (900 nucleotides) under Malus domestica (apple). RNAcentral describes it as "long non-coding RNA (MDOM_LNC009924)". Lineage: Eukaryota; Viridiplantae; Streptophyta; Magnoliopsida; Rosales; Rosaceae. The record is from RNAcentral.
CACGCCAACUGCGAAGCAGAUUAAGACCUAGUCAGUAGCUAGGCCAACAGUAGAAAUUAAGAGGUGCAAUGCUGAUAAUUAAUGGAUAGUUAUGGUGAUUUCAGCUUCUUCCAAUGUAACAAAGUAAACAUUAAAGUAGCUGCGUAGAUGUAAAUUUUAUCUGCAGAUUAUGAUCUUGUGAUAGAGACGGUUGAAUUAUGAACGUUAAUGUUUCGAAUAUAUCUCUCAUUACUUUGAUUUCUCGAUUAAAUUUCUAUGAUAUUAUGCAUUAUCUAUCUUGGAUUCGAUGCUCAAAUGACUCUUCAAAACAGAACUAAUUAGAUGUUCAAAUUACUCUUCCAGUUUUCAUCCAAUUUAAUUAGGCACCAAACGAGACUAUUUAGAAGUGAAACAGAAAGCUCUUGGCUGCCGGAAGAGAAUUGCUAGUUAAAGUGGUGGCGCAUCCCCUCUACACCAUGAGUUGUUUUUCUCUUUUCGAAGUAUUUUUGUGACGCCCUGAAUCGAAUGGUUGCUUCCUUUUGCUGGAACGAGUCGGAUAGCUCAAGAAGAUGCAUUGGCUUGCUUGGCAGAAUCUCUGCUGCCUAAACCCCAAGGGGUCUGGGUUUUCGCAGCCUUAAUGCUUUCAACAAGGGAUUACUCGCUAAAUAGGGCUGGAAAUUAAUCCAAGAGAUCCCUUAUUUUCACUGUUACACAUUACUAAGUAAGGAACUAUACCUUAACUAUGACACCAAUUUCAUAUUUGGUACGCCAGUUUUUGUUUGGUUUUGUUGUUUCUGAAAGUACCAAGCUGACUUAGUUUUCAUUCGACAAAUAAGUCAAUUUAUAAAUUAAGUGGUUAUUGGAGAACAUAGUCCCACAAUAUAAUACACACUUAAUAUAUGAAAAAUAAUAAACAAUUAA